Molecule: ribosomal RNA, 253 nt
Filed under: uncultured bacterium
Lineage: Bacteria
Description: partial 16S ribosomal RNA
Rfam family: Bacterial small subunit ribosomal RNA
Source: RNAcentral
UACGGAGGGUGCAAGCGUUGUCCGGAAUUACUGGGCGUAAAGCGCGUGUAGGUGGUGGGACAAGUCUGCUGUGAAAGCGCCUGGCUUAACCGGGCGAGGUCGGCGGAAACUGUCCGACUCGAGGACGGUAGAGGGGGGUGGAAUUCCCGGUGUAGUGGUGAAAUUCGUAGAUAUUCGCAAGAACACCAGUGGCGAAGGCGGCUGACUGGUCCGGUUCUGACGCUGAGGCGCGAAAGCGUGGGUAGCGAACAGG